ACAGCCUGCUGCUGGCAAUUGACAGGUAAUGGAAAAAUAUAAUAUUAGUACACAAAGUCAUAAAAUAAUAAAAUGCAUUAUCACUACUAUUUCUAUAGUUAUUUUUAGGGGUGCUAUGAUGUAAUUUAGGGAUGUUUGACCCCAAAAAGGGUCUAAAUUCGCUUAUGCUCCCUCCCUCUGUUCCUCCCUCUCCCUCUGCAACGUAAUGCAGGAGGCAUUAUAAAUAUCAGCCAAGUGGCACACGGGCUAAAUUUGUGGGAACAGCUGAUCAAAGCAAAGCACUGCGACGUCAAGACAGCAACGCCAAGAUGAUCGAUAAUGAAAUCGUACUUGAAGCACUGGGGGUGAUCUGCAAUGCCGAAGUAACUUCUCUUCAACAAAAACAAAGAUCAGAAGUUGACAUCGUUCCUUUCCUUCUCGGAGCUUUAAAAAAUUUAUUCAUAGCUGCUGAAACUCAGCUGCCUAUUACCCAGCUCAUUUCUACAGUUGUGGAUGGAGAUCAAACCUGGUAAAUGUUCUUCUAAACCUCUGAUAAUAACAGCUUUAAAUGUCAUUUCUGAAAUAGGAUUGUAGGUUUUAGAAAGGGUUAGGCUUUAGAAUAGUUAGAAUUGCUGGUGUAAAAAAUGUUUUAAUAAUUUUAGAUGACAUUAGUAAAACUGUGACUGUGCCGAGACUCAAAGUCAGGUUGUAGUUUCAAAAACCCAAAGAAGUUUAAUAGUUUCACAACAGGAUAGAAAAAUAUAUGUGCUCAUUUUUACCUGCAUUUCACUUUAUAUAGUGUAAAAAAGUCCAAUUAAAAUACACCACUUUCAUUUUUUUAACAACCAAAAUGUCAGAUUGUUCAGAGUCCUGAGACAUAAUCCAUUAGUUUUUGUAAAACAGCAUGACUUAUAAGCCAUGCACAAUCUGAGUUAAAACAUAUUUAAGUUGAUGACAUGAAGACACAGCUGAUCUGCUUUGAAACUUUAUUUUAACUUACAGUUCGGUGUCACAAAGCAGCUUGUCCAGGAUUCUAUAUGGAGAGCAGGUGUCUGGUGAAAGGCCUGGGAGUCAAAAUGAACAUGUAUCAGAAUUUGAAGUAGACAAAAAAAGGCGUUUCAUCAUCGACGAAGAAGAAUUCUUUGACCCCAGAUUUCACUACGACUUUACUGAAAUGAAAGACACAGAUAACUUUUACAGAGGUGACGAAGAGUACCGGCGUCCCUAUGGUUGGAAGCGUUAUGCUCUCAAGGUCCUGGACAAGUAUGAUGGAAAUGAAUGGCUAGGCACCGCAGGCUAUCGCACUUGGUCAGUGUCAGGGGAGUGGCCUGUGUCCUACCAUGGGACAUCUUAUGACUCUGCUUGUGAGAUCAUCAAAGGACGUUUCAAGCCAGGUUGGAUAAACCUAUAUGGCAGAGGGGUUUAUUCUGCACCUGACAUCACUGAGGCCCUCGCUUAUUGUAAAGAUUUCAAGUCCAAAAAAAACGGCAAGACGUACAAAGUGAUUCUGCAGAAUCGGAUCAACCCCAGUUACAGAGAGAAAUGGAACAAUGAUAAGUACUGGCUGGUUCGCAUCGAUCGUGGAUCAUCAGAAGAAGAAGAGGGAAAGAUGGUGGAGCGUGCCAUUCGUCCCUAUGGCCUUCUGUUGAAAGAGUUCUAAAAGACCAAAAAGGUCACUAGAGGUCGCAGAAAAGUGUGGAAAAAAACAGCAUCUCCAGAAAUAAUUGUUUUUGCUGCAAAGUGUUUCUUUGAUGCUUUUUGUUCUUGCAUGAGGGGAGAGAAAAUCUAAAAUGUAAACAUUGUUUAACAUGAAAUUAUGUAAGUUUAUAUGAAAUGCAAGCUUAGAGCAGAAAAUUGUAAAAGGUUUGAUAUUUGUGCAAUUUUACUUCUCAAAUUUUGAAGAUUUUAGAUGUUUUUCACUAUUAAAUAUGCUUUUAACUAUGUAUAUUGAGUUCCUUUAAAUGUCUCGACAUCUCUAAUCAGUCUAAUUUGUAAGUGGGAAGUUACUGAGCUCUUUUUUUGUCACAAUAUCCAUAUAUAUCCAUAUAUCCAGUAAGCGGGAGUUCACUGGGUAAAAACAGCUUGAGCUAGAGGUCAGAGAAGAAUUGCC
Molecule: long non-coding RNA, 2089 nt
Organism: Oreochromis aureus
Lineage: Eukaryota; Metazoa; Chordata; Actinopteri; Cichliformes; Cichlidae
Source: Ensembl